Molecule: transfer RNA, 89 nt
Filed under: Planctomycetaceae bacterium
Lineage: Bacteria; Pseudomonadati; Planctomycetota; Planctomycetia; Planctomycetales; Planctomycetaceae
Also listed under: 4 other names
Description: tRNA-Ser
Rfam family: tRNA
About the family: Transfer RNA (tRNA) molecules are approximately 80 nucleotides in length. Their secondary structure includes four short double-helical elements and three loops (D, anti-codon, and T loops).
Source: RNAcentral
GGAGCGGUGGCUGAGUGGUCGAAAGCGCCGGUUUGCUAAAUCGGUGAACUGGGAAACCGGUUCCGCAGGUUCGAAUCCUGUCCGCUCCG